Molecule: ribosomal RNA, 1394 nt
Filed under: Escherichia coli
Lineage: Bacteria; Pseudomonadati; Pseudomonadota; Gammaproteobacteria; Enterobacterales; Enterobacteriaceae
Description: partial 23S ribosomal RNA
Rfam family: Bacterial large subunit ribosomal RNA
Source: RNAcentral
GUACACAAAAAUGCACAUACUGUGAGCUCGAUGAGUAGGGCGGGACACGUGGUAUCCUGUCUGAAUAUGGGGGGACCAUCCUCCAAGGCUAAAUACUCCUGACUGACCGAUAGUGAACCAGUACCGUGAGGGAAAGGCGAAAAGAACCCCGGCGAGGGGAGUGAAAAAGAACCUGAAACCGUGUACGUACAAGCAGUGGGAGCCUCUUAAUGGGGUGACUGCGUACCUUUUGUAUAAUGGGUCAGCGACUUAUAUUCUGUAGCAAGGUUAACCGAAUAGGGGAGCCGAAGGGAAACCGAGUCUUAACUGGGCGUUAAGUUGCAGGGUAUAGACCCGAAACCCGGUGAUCUAGCCAUGGGCAGGUUGAAGGUUGGGUAACACUAACUGGAGGACCGAACCGACUAAUGUUGAAAAAUUAGCGGAUGACUUGUGGCUGGGGGUGAAAGGCCAAUCAAACCGGGAGAUAGCUGGUUCUCCCCGAAAGCUAUUUAGGUAGCGCCUCGUGAAUUCAUCUCCGGGGGUAGAGCACUGUUUCGGCAAGGGGGUCAUCCCGACUUACCAACCCGAUGCAAACUGCGAAUACCGGAGAAUGUUAUCACGGGAGACACACGGCGGGUGCUAACGUCCGUCGUGAAGAGGGAAACAACCCAGACCGCCAGCUAAGGUCCCAAAGUCAUGGUUAAGUGGGAAACGAUGUGGGAAGGCCCAGACAGCCAGGAUGUUGGCUUAGAAGCAGCCAUCAUUUAAAGAAAGCGUAAUAGCUCACUGGUCGAGUCGGCCUGCGCGGAAGAUGUAACGGGGCUAAACCAUGCACCGAAGCUGCGGCAGCGACACUAUGUGUUGUUGGGUAGGGGAGCGUUCUGUAAGCCUGUGAAGGUGUACUGUGAGGUAUGCUGGAGGUAUCAGAAGUGCGAAUGCUGACAUAAGUAACGAUAAAGCGGGUGAAAAGCCCGCUCGCCGGAAGACCAAGGGUUCCUGUCCAACGUUAAUCGGGGCAGGGUGAGUCGACCCCUAAGGCGAGGCCGAAAGGCGUAGUCGAUGGGAAACAGGUUAAUAUUCCUGUACUUGGUGUUACUGCGAAGGGGGGACGGAGAAGGCUAUGUUGGCCGGGCGACGGUUGUCCCGGUUUAAGCGUGUAGGCUGGUUUUCCAGGCAAAUCCGGAAAAUCAAGGCUGAGGCGUGAUGACGAGGCACUACGGUGCUGAAGCAACAAAUGCCCUGCUUCCAGGAAAAGCCUCUAAGCAUCAGGUAACAUCAAAUCGUACCCCAAACCGACACAGGUGGUCAGGUAGAGAAUACCAAGGCGCUUGAGAGAACUCGGGUGAAGGAACUAGGCAAAAUGGUGCCGUAACUUCGGGAGAAGGCACGCUGAUAUGUAGGUGAAGUCCCUUGCG